This 266-nucleotide ribosomal RNA is filed under the name uncultured prokaryote. Its description in RNAcentral is "partial 16S ribosomal RNA". It matches the Rfam family "Bacterial small subunit ribosomal RNA", at positions 524 to 788 of the family's 1533-position model. The record is from RNAcentral.
UACGUAGGGUGCGAGCGUUGUCCGGAAUUACUGGGCGUAAAGAGCUCGUAGGUGGUUUGUCACGUCGUCUGUGAAAUUCCGGGGCUUAACCUCGGGCGUGCAGGCGUUACGGGCAAUACUUGAGUGCUGUAGGGGAGACUGGAAUUCCUGGUGUAGCGGUGAAAUGCGCAGAUAUCAGGAGGAACACCAAUGGCGAAGGCAGGUCUCUGGGCCACUACUGACGCUGAGAAGCGAAAACAUGGGGAUCAAACAGGAUUAGAUACCCU